GUGGUCGCUCCCGCGCACAUACCCCACAAUUGGAAUGAUACAGAGAGGAUCAGCAUGGCCCCUGCGCAAGGAUGACACACAAAUUCAUGAAGCAGUCCGUAUUUUA
Molecule: small nuclear RNA, 106 nt
Organism: Gorilla gorilla gorilla (western lowland gorilla)
Lineage: Eukaryota; Metazoa; Chordata; Mammalia; Primates; Hominidae
Source: Ensembl